AUUGAACGCUGGCGGCAGGCCUAACACAUGCAAGUCGAGCGGAUGAAGGGAGCUUGCUCCUGGAUUCAGCGGCGGACGGGUGAGUAAUGCCUAGGAAUCUGCCUGGUAGUGGGGGAUAACGUCCGGAAACGGGCGCUAAUACCGCAUACGUCCUGAGGUAGAAAGUGGGGGAUCUUCGGACCUCACGCUAUCAGAUGAGCCUAGGUCGCAUUAGCUAGUUGGUGGGGUAAAGGCCUACCAAGGCGACGAUCCGUAACUGGUCUGAGAGGAUGAUCAGUCACACUGGAACUGAGACACGGUCCAGACUCCUACGGGAGGCAGCAGUGGGGAAUAUUGGACAAUGGGCGAAAGCCUGAUCCAGCAAUGCCGCGUGUGUGAAGAAGGUCUUCGGAUUGUAAAGCACUUUAAGUUGGGAGGAAGGGAAGUAAGUUAAUACCUUGCUGUUUUGACGUUACCAACAGAAUAAGCACCGGCUAACUUCGUG
RNAcentral lists this ribosomal RNA (484 nucleotides) under uncultured bacterium. Its description in RNAcentral is "partial 16S ribosomal RNA". It matches the Rfam family "Bacterial small subunit ribosomal RNA", at positions 30 to 507 of the family's 1533-position model. The record is from RNAcentral.